AACAGGAUUAGAUACCCUGGUAGUCCACGCCGUAAACGAUGGGCACUAGGUGCUUGGGGGAGCGACCCCCUGAGUGCCGGCGCUAACGCAUUAAGUGCCCCGCCUGGGGAGUACGGCCGCAAGGCUGAAACUCAAAGGAAUUGACGGGGGCCCGCACAAGCGGUGGAGCAUGUGGUUUAAUUCGACGCAACGCGAAGAACCUUACCUGGGCUUGACAUGGGCGUGAUCGCUCUGGGAAACCAGAGCUUCCCUUCGGGGCACGUUCACAGGUGCUGCAUGGCUGUCGUCAGCUCGUGUCGUGAGAUGUUGGGUUAAGUCCCGCAACGAGCGCAACCCUCGCCUCUAGUUACCAGCGGGUCAUGCCGGGGACUCUAGAGGGACUGCCGGUGCCAAACCGGAGGAAGGUGAGGACGACGUCAAGUCAUCAUGGUCCUUACGCCCAGGGCCACACACGUGCUACAAUGGCGGGGACAGCAGGCCGCGAGCCGGCAACGGUGAGCCAAUCCCCAAACCCCGCCUCAGUACGGAUUGUCCUCUGCAACUCGAGGGCAUGAAGCUGGAAUCGCUAGUAAUCGUGGAUCAGCUACGCCACGGUGAAUACGUUCCCGGGCCUUGUACACACCGCCCGUCACGCCAUGGAAGCUGUGAGCGCCCGAAGUCCGUGUCGGAACCCGCAAGGGACCUAGCGGCCGAAGGCGAGCAUAGUGACUGGGGCGAAGUCGUAACAAGGUAACC
RNAcentral lists this ribosomal RNA (735 nucleotides) under uncultured bacterium. Its description in RNAcentral is "bacterial SSU rRNA". It matches the Rfam family "Bacterial small subunit ribosomal RNA", at positions 771 to 1501 of the family's 1533-position model. The record is from RNAcentral.